This 1486-nucleotide ribosomal RNA is filed under the name Klebsiella pneumoniae. RNAcentral describes it as "bacterial SSU rRNA". It matches the Rfam family "Bacterial small subunit ribosomal RNA". The record is from RNAcentral. Lineage: Bacteria; Pseudomonadati; Pseudomonadota; Gammaproteobacteria; Enterobacterales; Enterobacteriaceae.
UUUGAUCAUGGCUCAGAUUGAACGCUGGCGGCAGGCCUAACACAUGCAAGUCGAGCGGUAGCACAGAGAGCUUGCUCUCGGGUGACGAGCGGCGGACGGGUGAGUAAUGUCUGGGAAACUGCCUGAUGGAGGGGGAUAACUACUGGAAACGGUAGCUAAUACCGCAUAACGUCGCAAGACCAAAGUGGGGGACCUUCGGGCCUCAUGCCAUCAGAUGUGCCCAGAUGGGAUUAGCUAGUAGGUGGGGUAACGGCUCACCUAGGCGACGAUCCCUAGCUGGUCUGAGAGGAUGACCAGCCACACUGGAACUGAGACACGGUCCAGACUCCUACGGGAGGCAGCAGUGGGGAAUAUUGCACAAUGGGCGCAAGCCUGAUGCAGCCAUGCCGCGUGUGUGAAGAAGGCCUUCGGGUUGUAAAGCACUUUCAGCGGGGAGGAAGGCGUUAAGGUUAAUAACCUUGUCGAUUGACGUUACCCGCAGAAGAAGCACCGGCUAACUCCGUGCCAGCAGCCGCGGUAAUACGGAGGGUGCAAGCGUUAAUCGGAAUUACUGGGCGUAAAGCGCACGCAGGCGGUCUGUCAAGUCGGAUGUGAAAUCCCCGGGCUCAACCUGGGAACUGCAUUCGAAACUGGCAGGCUAGAGUCUUGUAGAGGGGGGUAGAAUUCCAGGUGUAGCGGUGAAAUGCGUAGAGAUCUGGAGGAAUACCGGUGGCGAAGGCGGCCCCCUGGACAAAGACUGACGCUCAGGUGCGAAAGCGUGGGGAGCAAACAGGAUUAGAUACCCUGGUAGUCCACGCCGUAAACGAUGUCGAUUUGGAGGUUGUGCCCUUGAGGCGUGGCUUCCGGAGCUAACGCGUUAAAUCGACCGCCUGGGGAGUACGGCCGCAAGGUUAAAACUCAAAUGAAUUGACGGGGGCCCGCACAAGCGGUGGAGCAUGUGGUUUAAUUCGAUGCAACGCGAAGAACCUUACCUGGUCUUGACAUCCACAGAACUUUCCAGAGAUGGAUUGGUGCCUUCGGGAACUGUGAGACAGGUGCUGCAUGGCUGUCGUCAGCUCGUGUUGUGAAAUGUUGGGUUAAGUCCCGCAACGAGCGCAACCCUUAUCCUUUGUUGCCAGCGGUCCGGCCGGGAACUCAAAGGAGACUGCCAGUGAUAAACUGGAGGAAGGUGGGGAUGACGUCAAGUCAUCAUGGCCCUUACGACCAGGGCUACACACGUGCUACAAUGGCAUAUACAAAGAGAAGCGACCUCGCGAGAGCAAGCGGACCUCAUAAAGUAUGUCGUAGUCCGGAUUGGAGUCUGCAACUCGACUCCAUGAAGUCGGAAUCGCUAGUAAUCGUAGAUCAGAAUGCUACGGUGAAUACGUUCCCGGGCCUUGUACACACCGCCCGUCACACCAUGGGAGUGGGUUGCAAAAGAAGUAGGUAGCUUAACCUUCGGGAGGGCGCUUACCACUUUGUGAUUCAUGACUGGGGUGAAGUCGUA